Molecule: long non-coding RNA, 546 nt
Organism: Clupea harengus (Atlantic herring)
Lineage: Eukaryota; Metazoa; Chordata; Actinopteri; Clupeiformes; Clupeidae
Source: Ensembl
CAACUUCCCACCCCUGUAGACGACGAAGGUGAAUUGAUUAGUUUGGAGUGCGACAAAUUGUUUACUUAACUUAUUAUGAUUGAUAGUUAGUUGUUUCAUUUGGAGCUGAAUUGUUUAGGGUUUAUUUAGUUAUUGAGAAUUAUGGUUUGGAGUUUUUGUUUUCUUUUUUGAUUUUUCUCCAUUCUGGCGUGUUUGGCCUUCUGUGAAAGGAUAAUAAACAUUUGCCAUUGCCACAAACAUCCGAGACACUGCCUCCAUUUCGUUCUACAUCGCCACGAGGCCAUCCCGGCUACAAUUGGACCAUGGUUGGAUGUCGGGGAUAAACCCAGAAUCUGGUUGAUGCUACAGGGAAGUGCUGGAGAGCAGAAGACCGCAGCCUGUGGGACAAGCAGGACCUUGAAGUCCUGAGUCUGCCUUUUGUUGGGCAGCACACGAUUAAUAUUGAAGACAUCCAAACUAUGAAGGAACACAUAUGGAUGUAUGUGGUAAACAAAGAAAUGCUCAACAAACCAGAAUAUGGUUUAGAUUCUUCAAAGUAGCACCUUU